UACGAAGGGGGCUAGCGUUGCUCGGAAUGACUGGGCGUAAAGGGCGCGUAGGCGGUUCGUACAGUUGGAUGUGAAAUUCCUGGGCUUAACCUGGGGGCUGCAUUCAAUACGUGCGGGCUUGAGUGUGGAAGAGGGUUGUGGAAUUCCCAGUGUAGAGGUGAAAUUCGUAGAUAUUGGGCAGAACACCGGUGGCGAAGGCGGCAACCUGGUCCAUAACUGACGCUGAGGCGCGAAAGCGUGGGGAGCAAACAGG
Molecule: ribosomal RNA, 253 nt
Filed under: uncultured bacterium
Lineage: Bacteria
Description: partial 16S ribosomal RNA
Rfam family: Bacterial small subunit ribosomal RNA
Source: RNAcentral